CACUUUUGAGUGACAUCCAAGUUAAACAGAUUCAGUGUAUGAUAGAUAGCUUUGAUUUUUCGGACUUUGACAAACCAAUUUUUUAUAUUCUUGGCAGCAGCAACCAAAACUCGGUGCCGGUGGUCUUGUGUUUGUCCAAGGACCUGGAAUCAAGUAUUCAAGUUUCAACCUGCUUCAUGGCUAUUUCACCGCAGUACAAGCAACUUAACUACUAGAACGAAUGUUCUGAGUUUUGGCGAGACAUGAAAGCAUUGAAUUGAUCCUGAAACAUAACUCACAGUAUUCAAAUCUUCGAUACGGGUCAUUACACCCAUGGCCAUUUCACGUCGGUCGGCUGGAGCUUCGGGACAUGGGUACAAGGUAGCCCGGAAACCUUCGCAAAUUUUCUUAACGCGAGUCUUCAACUGAUCCCCUUGGAAGAAUAUGAUGAAAACAGACUUGAACACCUGGUCACCCUGUCAGACAAGAGCGAAAUUACAAUUAUAAAAAUUCAGAACAAAAAAAGCCACAACAACUAAUUUCUGAUAACUAAAAAGCGUUCAUAAUUACGACACUAUUUAGAUUCUGAAUUAAACGUGGGAAAUUAUUACUCACUGUUGAGGGAUCUUCGAGUGGAGUUUCGAUUUCAGCCUGGCGCAAGAAGACAUUUCCACGGCAAGCACGCCACAACAUACGCUCAAAUGCUGGAAUGCGUUCUCUCAGAAUAACUCCAGCGACGAAACUAAUCAUUAGGAAUAUUGAUUAUAUCAUUUGUAAAGACGUGAAAAUCGUACAUACAGGGCCUAGCUAAUUGGGUCACAAUUUGCGUAACAUUAUUAGUAGUUUUUAGUUACCCUAAUCGAUAGAAACAUUUUCCAAUCCAAUCCUGUCAGUUUCCGACUAUCUACUAAAACAUAUUUAAUACAGCAAGCUAUUGUCAGCAACGAUUGGUCUUUAUUUUCAAUGAACUUUCGUAAAAGUUUUGCAAAAUAUUUUUCGAGGCGUAUAGCUUUUAGAUUCCAGUCGUUUAAUCACAACACAUGUACUAAUAAAGAAAAUUAAAACAAUGUUCAUCGCCAUUUACGAAUAGUUUGUGCAGCACAGUUGAAAGGAAAAUUAUUAAAUAUGAAACAUAUAGAAAACAUUUUUCCGGUACAUCUGAAUUCAUAUUACACGACAGCAUAAUGGAAAUCUGAGCUACAUGUCUCAGAUCAAUGUACAAGAAAGUUAGCUAUAUCAUGUCGAAAUAUAAUUGAUUAAUUUCAACAUCGAUCUUGAAGGAAUGAAAUACUUAUGGAGACCAUGUCGGAUUGUGUAUAACAGCAGGACGAUGAUUCUUGCAGCCAUGGUCGCUCUUACAUACCUUGAAGGAAUCUUGUUUAGUUUUGUUUUUUCUUUGUUUCUUUAAUACGAAAAAAAAAAUUCCAAAAGACAACAA
Long non-coding RNA from Athalia rosae (coleseed sawfly), 1417 nucleotides. RefSeq lists it as uncharacterized. NCBI's taxonomy places the organism in Eukaryota, Metazoa, Arthropoda, Insecta, Hymenoptera, Athaliidae. The transcript is spliced from 2 exons. The record is from RefSeq and is a predicted model, not a curated record.